Molecule: ribosomal RNA, 253 nt
Filed under: uncultured bacterium
Lineage: Bacteria
Description: partial 16S ribosomal RNA
Rfam family: Bacterial small subunit ribosomal RNA
Source: RNAcentral
GACGUAGGGCGCGAGCGUUGUCCGGAUUUAUUGGGCGUAAAGAGCUCGUAGGCGGCUCGUUGCGUCAACCGUGAAAACCCGGGGCUUAACUUCGGGCUUGCGGUUGAUACGGGCGGGCUGGAGUUCGGUAGGGGAGAUCGGAAUUCCUGGUGUAGCGGUGAAAUGCGCAGAUAUCAGGAGGAACACCGGUGGCGAAGGCGGAUCUCUGGGCCUUGCCUGACGCUGAGGCGCGAAAGCUAGGGGAGCGAACAGG